This 253-nucleotide ribosomal RNA is filed under the name uncultured bacterium. RNAcentral describes it as "partial 16S ribosomal RNA". It matches the Rfam family "Bacterial small subunit ribosomal RNA", at positions 524 to 776 of the family's 1533-position model. The record is from RNAcentral.
UACGUAGGGGGCAAGCGUUGUCCGGAAUCAUUGGGCGUAAAGAGCGUGUAGGCGGCUCGAUAAGUCCGCUGUGAAAGUCCAGGGCUCAACCCUGGACAGGCGGUGGAAACUACCAAGCUGGAGUACGGUAGGGGCAGAGGGAAUUUCCGGUGGAGCGGUGAAAUGCAUUGAGAUCGGAAAGAACAUCAACGGCGAAAGCACUCUGCUGGGCCGACACUGACACUGAGAGACGAAAGCUAGGGGAGCAAAUGGG